Hydra vulgaris (swiftwater hydra) is the source of this 987-nucleotide long non-coding RNA. RefSeq lists it as uncharacterized. NCBI's taxonomy places the organism in Eukaryota, Metazoa, Cnidaria, Hydrozoa, Anthoathecata, Hydridae. The record is from RefSeq and is a predicted model, not a curated record.
ACAAAAAAAAAAAUAUUUUGGAGUCGGAGUCGUUCUCUGAAAAUUUCAGCGAAAAAAAAGUUUCAGAGAAAAGUUAUGUUCCAACUUGCUGAAAUUAAAAACAUUUUAAUAAAUAAAACUGUACAGUUCUCUAAUGAUACAGAAGGUUAUAAACAACUUAAAAGUUCAAAUAAACUUAAUGUUUUGAAAAGAAAAAUUGCAAAUGGAGAUAUCCAAUACAUCACUUUUGUAAAACAGUUAUCAUUAAUUGGCGGUAAAAAUUCAGUUGAUACAAUUAAAAAUAUUUUGCUCUUGUAAGUAAUUAGCAUAAGUUAAAAUAUUUAUAUAAAAAAUACUUUUGUGUUUUGUUAUCUCUCCAAGUGCUAUAAAAGGAGAAUCAGAAGCUUAUACAUGUUUUUUUAUUAAAAAUUUCAUUGAUUCAUUAAUCAUUCUUUAUAUUUAUUCAGACAAACUGUCUUAGUAAGUAUUUAUUUUAAAAUUUUUAAUUUUUAAUUGCAUGAAUUACAAAUACAUUAUAAUUUUAUUUGUUUUUAGAGCUAACAUAUGAAGCUUAUAGGCUAUUUCGAACUUAAAAUUAAAAUCAUUCACUAAAAGCCAAGACAGAGUAAUUACUAUGUUUCAAAACAUUUUUAUUUUUAAUUUUUUUAUUAGGUUGGUGGGUUAAAUAUGAUCAUUUAAAUGAGAAAAUGUAUACUAGUGCAACUUGUAAUCUAGUAAAACAAAUAUGUAUUGUGCUUUCUCUUUUUUAAUAACUGCAUGUGAAAUUGUUGAAAAUGUCAUUUCUAUGUGUUUUCUUUUUUAUGUUGGUUGAGGGGAAGGGGGAAAACCAUCCCUCUCCUCAAAUUGUACAUCACUAAUGUAUGUUCUAUAGUAAAAAAAUAUUGCUUUAUGUAAUACAACAAUGUUUUCAAUACUAAUGUAUGUUGUAGAGUUAUAAAAGUUUAUUUUUCCUUUUUAACAAUACAUUUGAUUAUUGAAAUAAAGAUC